Equus quagga is the source of this 2060-nucleotide long non-coding RNA. RefSeq lists it as uncharacterized. NCBI's taxonomy places the organism in Eukaryota, Metazoa, Chordata, Mammalia, Perissodactyla, Equidae. The transcript is spliced from 3 exons. The record is from RefSeq and is a predicted model, not a curated record.
GGCCAGAGGUUACAUAUAUGUGUGUGCAAUGUAUUCCAAAGGCAUAGUUGGAGUAGCUGAGAAUGGGAGGUGGGAGCCCAGGAAAGGAGGAGGCGGGCGCCACAAGUCUGGACGAGCUGCCUUGUAAAAGGAUCAAAGCUCUUUGAGAUCCCUCUGCCAAAGCUCUUGCAGCGUGUGACAGGAACCCAGGUGAAAGAUGGGUGUGAGUGGAACUGAAAGAGACCCCUUGAUGAUUUCCUGAGGAAAUUCACCUGUUUGGCAAUGACUUUGCUCCGCAAGUUUUCCUCCUGCAUCCACAUGUCCUCAUCAACUCCAAACUCAAAGGAAAGCAUGAUGGUUGUGAAACUGAAAAGCAACUUUCAGCGUAUGCAGAUUUGGAACUCAUAAUGCCGCCAGCCUGAAACUACUGUUAAUAUUUUGGUUCAACUUCAGUUAUCUGGAAAAGGCCAAGAAGCCAGAGGAGUGAGGCAUUGUUUCAAAUCAUAAACUGACAAGAUUUGAUUAAACGUCAUCAUUUGCCCAGCAUUGUACAUGUGUACAAUGAAGAACCAAAGACUGGACUCUCAAGGAAGCAAAGAGACAAAAGUGACACAGCUACAAUGCUCAGCAUGCAAGUUAGCACCCAACUGAGGGGCCCAGAUCAUGAGAAUUAUAGGCCCUUAGCACACUGAGGAGAGGUCAGGGGUCAGGCUAGUCUGGUAGAGGGGGGGAAAGGAGGCUUCCUGCAGGAGCUGGAACUUGGGCCAUCUCUUGCAGACUGGGGAGGAUUGAGAUUAGUAAAGAGAAAGAGAAGGUUCUCUAGCCAAUGGAGACAACUCAAGCAGAGGCCCUGGAAUGGGACUGGCAAGAAGAAGUGAGACCAGCCGAGUUCAGUCGAGGAACGGGUAGGAUAAUGUAUCUCAUGGUAAGUCAGAUUAUGGGGACUGUUGACAGUCGGGCAGAAGUACUUGGCUCUAGAUAUGGUAGGCAAGACAAAGAAACAAAUAAGCUUAUGGGUGAGUUGGGCAAUUAUGUAGUCUAGUGGCUACUAAACAGUCAAGUCACAAAUAACCUGAUGGUAUUGGUGUGUUCCAUGUGAGAGUGCAAGUGCCCACUGUCUGGAAUCCCCUCACUUCUCUCUGUUCACCCCUCACCCAACCACAUCCUGGGAAGUGGGCAGUAGGGUAUACUGAGUGCAUUGCACAGAUUAACUAACUCGGCCUUCCUCCCAAGGAUCUUCCUCGAAUGCCUCACCUCAGAAAGAUCUAACACAACAAAUAAAACAAAAGCAGUGAAGAUAGCGACCUGUGAGGACCAAAGCCAUCUAUGCAGAACUCCAGGGAGCUUCUGCACCGGCAACCGGCACAAAGAGUCAAAAUCCUCUUCUGCCUUCUUCACUUUUCUCAGUCCUCAGGACACCAAGCUUCUAACUGACCGUGCUUCCAUAGCAUGCCCACACUUCGCCUGCACUUCCUUUAGGCUGACGUCGACACUCCCCCUGCCGUGCAAUGCUCUAUACUCCCAGGUCAAGAGUUUCCCUUCCCACUGGGCUGGAUGAUUCUGGGACCUAAGGAUCUGCUCAGAAGAGCAGAUGCUCAGUGAGUGCAUAUUAAACAGCUCUAGUGCCCCUUCCCUGGUUUUAUAAUCUGGUCCACAAAAUUCCUGGUAGCCAUCUUCAACAACAUUGCAAAACAACAUGGACCUUUAAAAGAAAGUUUGAGCAUCAGUUAACACAACUUGAAUACAAGAAAUCCCAGCAGCUCACAAUCUUUCACCCUUUUCCAAAACAUCCUGUGGGUCAGCAACAUCCCUCUAACAUUCAGAGUGAAAGGAAGAUCUCCUCUCAGAUCUUACUGCAGGCACCCCAUUGGGGUCUUUGGGAGAUAGUCACCCAAAUGGCCUACAUUUGAAGUUGGCAAGACCACCCCAGAAACAGCAUCUGUCCAUGUUCCUUUCACCAAGAUCCGUGGUCUGCUGAUUGUUGAGACUUGUGUUCAAGUGUUGACUUCCCUUUUUUUUUCUUAAAGAUUUCCCUUUUCCUUUUCCUCCCCAAAGCCCCCCGUACAUAGUUAUAUAUUUUU